RNAcentral lists this ribosomal RNA (447 nucleotides) under uncultured bacterium. Its description in RNAcentral is "bacterial SSU rRNA". It matches the Rfam family "Bacterial small subunit ribosomal RNA", at positions 329 to 793 of the family's 1533-position model. The record is from RNAcentral.
CCCCAGACUCCUACGGGAGGCAGCAGUGGGGAAUAUUGCACAAUGGGGGAAACCCUGAUGCAGCGACGCCGCGUGAGUGAAGAAGUAUUUCGGUAUGUAAAGCUCUAUCAGCAGGGAAGAAGUUGACGGUACCUGAGUAAGAAGCCCCGGCUAACUACGUGCCAGCAGCCGCGGUAAUACGUAGGGGGCAAGCGUUAUCCGGAUUUACUGGGUGUAAAGGGAGCGUAGACGGCAGUGCAAGUCUGAAGUGAAAGCCCCGGGCUUAACCCGGGAAUUGCUUUGGAAACUGUACGGCUGGAGUGCUGGAGAGGUAAGCGGAAUUCCUAGUGUAGCGGUGAAAUGCGUAGAUAUUAGGAGGAACACCAGUGGCGAAGGCGGCUUACUGGACAGUAACUGACGUUGAGGCUCGAAAGCGUGGGGAGCAAACAGGAUUAGAUACCCUCGUAA